Molecule: long non-coding RNA, 1379 nt
Organism: Lates calcarifer (barramundi perch)
Lineage: Eukaryota; Metazoa; Chordata; Actinopteri; Centropomidae
Exons: 3
Source: RefSeq, a predicted model, not a curated record
ACAGGUGUGUUAUGGUAGUUGCGGCUAACGUAGCCACGAGCUGCUAGCCACAAGCAGAGAAGAGGGAAGGGUUAAAAAAAAAAGGUCUGGUCACCUGACCUAGAUGUCCUCUUAUUAAGAUCUUGAUGCUGACAAAUCAGAAGAUGGGCAUUUCUGGCAGCACUUCAACAUUGACAGCGUGGGUGCUUCGGCCUAAAGGAGCAUAUCGCAGGUCAAACUGUGAGAGGAAAAAGAAAAAAGAUGCAAAGCCUCUGCGUUGCCUCUAAUGCCCUGAAAGGAACAAGCACAUCUACAGUUACCAGCCACCGCUCACGGUCUGCCUGUUACUGGAAAUACAAUGGAAAAAGGUAUUCAACCAACCGGAGCACAAAGAGCUUCUAACUGUGCCUAACUCUCCCUGUUCUGUUCAUGUAACCUUGUAUGUGUGCAUGAGACAGACAGAAAGAGGGAGACAGAGAGAGUCUGUGUGCGUCUAUGUGUUUGUGUUCAGGACACAGAAAUGCUGAUGCCUCUCCUUUGGGCCCUGUCAAGCACACUUAGCGUCAGUGUUUACAAUGCAAAAUGGGAGAAAGUUCCUGUAAUUCCAGGAGGCCUGAAGGCAGGCGAAGGCAGGAGGAAGGCAGGACCCGGGGGGGGCGACAUCACUCUGUUUUGGAAAAGCCUAUGGGGCUGCAUGUUUGAGCACUGUUGAAGGACGCACUCACCUCAUGGUGAAAUCACAGCAUGCAAUGUCGUGAAUUUAGAUUGAUGCAUGGUGUAACAGAACUGAUCCCUGGUUACCCUCAGGCAAAUCUUAUUUAUAAUGAAGGCAGUGUGAAUUCUGUAGAGGAGUCGCUUCAUUGUUUUAUAAAAAACUCAACGACGUGUCGCUGCUCGUUGGUUGUGUCAAAGUUCCAACUCCAGACUUGAAUCAGUAGUUGGACAGUUUGAGAGAUGUGCUUGUUGCCUCCAUCGUGUCUUUAUGGUAAAUACGGAGCUUCUGCCAGCAGUUGUGUCGUCACCGGCAGGUUACCAGGCAACCAGCUGAGACUCCAGGAAGUUACUGUGCCCAGCCAAGAAAUAGCCUGGCACAAAAACCCCUGAAGAAUCACAAUGUGCUGUUUACACACUUUGGUUUUUGUAUGGAUUAAACAAAUGAGUUACAGUGUAAUAUUUUAAUUAGUCAGGUUUAGAGGUGCUGAUGGGAGGAUUUUGUUACUUUUGAGCAGUCCUUUGUGUAGCUGUUUCAUCAUUUCCUGUCUUUGUGCUAAGCUAAGCUGACCAGCUGUUGACUUUACCAUACCUUCUCAUCUAACUUCCAGCAAAUACGUGCAUUUACCAAAGUGGUGUUAAAUUGGAAUUUUGAUUAUGCUUUUUCUGACUCAUGUAAACCUGAAAUA